UACGUAGGUGGCAAGCGUUGUCCGGAUUUACUGGGCGUAAAGAGCGCGCAGGCGGCUGGGCAAGUCCGAUGUGAAAGCUUCCGGCUUAACUGGAAAAUUGCAUCGGAAACUGCUCGGCUUGAAGGUGGGAGAGGGUAGCGGAAUUCCCGGUGUAGUGGUGAAAUGCGUAGAUAUCGGGAGGAGCACCAGUGGCGAAGGCGGCUACCUGGCCCACUCUUGACGCUGAGGCGCGAAAGCUAGGGGAGCAAACGGG
Molecule: ribosomal RNA, 253 nt
Filed under: uncultured bacterium
Lineage: Bacteria
Description: partial 16S ribosomal RNA
Rfam family: Bacterial small subunit ribosomal RNA
Source: RNAcentral